AUUGAACGCUGGCGGCAUGCCUUACACAUGCAAGUCGAACGGUAACGGGCCUUCGGGUGCCGACGAGUGGCGAACGGGUGCGUAAUACAUCGGAACGUGCCCGAUCGUGGGGGAUAACGAGGCGAAAGCUUUGCUAAUACCGCAUACGAUCUACGGAUGAAAGCAGGGGACCGCAAGGCCUUGCGCGGACGGAGCGGCCGCUGGCAGAUUAGGUAGUUGGUGGGAUAAAAGCUUACCAAGCCGACGAUCUGUAGCUGAACUGAGAGGAUGAUCCGCCACACGGGAACUGAGACACGGCCCAGACUCCUACGGGAGGCAGCAGUGGGGAAUUUUGGACAAUGGGCGCAAGCCUGAUCCAGCAAUGCCGCGUGAAGGAUGAAGGCCUUCGGGUUGUAAACUGCUUUUGUACGGAACGAAAAGCCUUCUUUGAAUACAGGAGGGUCAUGACGGUACCGUAAGAAUAAGCACCGGCUAACUACGUG
This 482-nucleotide ribosomal RNA is filed under the name uncultured bacterium. RNAcentral describes it as "partial 16S ribosomal RNA". It matches the Rfam family "Bacterial small subunit ribosomal RNA", at positions 30 to 507 of the family's 1533-position model. The record is from RNAcentral.